This 274-nucleotide ribosomal RNA is filed under the name uncultured bacterium. Its description in RNAcentral is "partial 16S ribosomal RNA". It matches the Rfam family "Bacterial small subunit ribosomal RNA", at positions 523 to 796 of the family's 1533-position model. The record is from RNAcentral.
AUACGGGGGGGGCGAGCGUUGUCCGGAAUCAUUGGGCGUAAAGGGUGAGUAGGCGGGAUGGUAAGUCAGAGGUGAAAGUCCAGGGCUCAACUCUGGAUCUGCCUCUGAUACUGCUGUCCUUGAGUGCGGGAGAGGGAAGUGGAAUUCCCGGUGUAGCGGUGAAAUGCGUAGAUAUCGGGAAGAACACCAGUGGCGAAGGCGGCUUCCUGGCCCGCAACUGACGCUGAAUCACGAAAGCGUGGGGAGCAAACAGCAUUAGAAACCCUAGUAGUCC